GGAUUAGUGCGCCGGUCGUGCCUUCGGUAUGUACUGGUGUUACUGGUUCCUACCUUCUGACGAACCGUCAUGUCAUUAAUUUGGUGUGGCGGGAAAUCAGGACUGUUACUUUGAAAAAAUUAGAGUGUUUAAAGCAGGCCUACGCUUGAAUACAUUAGCAUGGAAUAAUAGAAUAGGACU
This 180-nucleotide ribosomal RNA is filed under the name uncultured Glomeromycotina. Its description in RNAcentral is "partial small subunit ribosomal RNA". The stretch from base 38 to 180 matches the Rfam family "Eukaryotic small subunit ribosomal RNA", at positions 684 to 829 of the family's 1831-position model. Lineage: Eukaryota; Fungi; Glomeromycota. The record is from RNAcentral.